Non-coding RNA from Punica granatum (pomegranate), 612 nucleotides. The record is from RefSeq and is a predicted model, not a curated record. Lineage: Eukaryota; Viridiplantae; Streptophyta; Magnoliopsida; Myrtales; Lythraceae.
GAGAAAUAUAUGAGCAAGCUGAAGCAGUUCACUGAGAGAGUGAGAGUGAUAAAUCCCCUGAAUCCAAGACCAAGAGCACGCAUCUCUACCUCUUCGCAUGCUCAAUGUUCGGGAGAAGGAAGUUCCUGUCGUUCCCUAUGGUGAUUGGAGCUGUCGUGAUCGGAGUAGUAUCUGGGAAGGCGAUAUUCGGACCUCCGCUAGAUGAGUACUGGAAGAAGAAGCUUCAAGAAGAGGCACCUGCAAAGGAAACCAAUGCAGCAGCCUCCACAUCCAACAGCUAAACUUGCGGCUGCAGAUACUUUCACAUGAAAGGUGCAAGAAAACAGCAUUGUUCACCGGUUGUCAGAGAGUUUCUCUCAGGUUUAUUUCCUCUCGUUAUAUAGCGUGUUGCAAUGGGGCAGAAGUGAAGGGCCGGUGCCAUAGUUUAGAGUUGUGUAGGAUUUGAUCUUGACAUUGCGCAUACGUCGAUAAUCUUUUAUUUACACAGGAAAGAGAAACAAGAAAGAUCGUCUUUUCUGGAAUAUCGUCCGAUUUUUUGGCUCACUGCAGACUGAAGCUGAAACAACAUUCAUUUGUGCAUUCAGACAUGAAUCAUAAGAAUAAUUUUAACUC